UGCUGAGCCAUCUCUCCAGCCUCAACUCUAUGUACUUUUAAUGUUUAGAGAACUUUGAAGUGCGAAUUUAACUAAUCAAAGGAAUUAAUCUUAUCCAAGUGAUGACAGCAUUAUGUUGGAUGGAAAAUACCCUAGGUUUUUUUCUUCCUGUCAGAUGCACAAUGAGAGUAAAAUUACAUAACCUCCUAUAUAUUUCAUCUUUGUUUUUAGGCAAAAGGGGAUGAAUAUAGUGUAUCGUGCAGACAACUGUGAAGUUGAUUGAUAUAAGAUUGUGAGAGUCCACCAUAUACUAUUUUUAAGUAGGGCUACAUUGGAACAAACACAUAACGUGGACCUGAGGAGAGAAGGCCAAUGAUGGAGAUGCAGAUUGAGAAGUUGUACCGCCGGCCAGUUAGCUCCUUGUUGUACCCACUAUGCUGGCAUUGCUAGAGUGUACUGCUGGAGCUGUCUAGUGCCUACUAGGUAACAAGACCCUGUUGCUAUCCAUCUUCUAGGGUAACUACAUAAUGAACCUAUCCAGAUGCCCCAGUGAAUUCCCCAAAGCACAAUCCUGUCCUCGGUACUUUUUCCAUAGAUGUGAUAAGAUCCUCUGGUGACAGGGACUUAAGAAAGGGUUUAAUAUGGUACACAGUCUAAGGUCCUUACAUAGCAAUUUCCUCUGCAGUGGCAUAUGUCAUCCUUGAAGAAAGCACAUUAAGACCCGGGGAAGGAAACAGUUCACAAGUCUCAGGAAUUAAUUAAAGCAAGUUUGCAAGGUCCCUUUCUCCCCAUGAUGAUCACAUGUGAAGACAACUGAGAAACCUUGCCCCUUGUCAAGCUGCCUGCAAGAUGCAGAGAACAUUCUAGAAGUCUGGCUUUUGUGAGUUGUCACCCACCCUCGAGUGGGCUAUUGCUGCUGCUAUAAGUAAUGUAUCCAUGCCCCUAUAAGUGACCUGUCACAUACACUAACCCCGAUAAACUCAUUGGUUCAUCAAGUUGAACUUGGGUGGUAUGACUUUGGCCCACGGGCAGUUCCCUAUCUGGAAUCUGUAGGUAUAUCUUCAUGUCUCUCCAGGAACAGUGUCCCACAGCAAGGGUACAAUCAGUUGUGACAGGAAAGGCAUGGCAGAGGCUGAGGCAGAGGGACACACUGCAUCUGCAGUGAAAGAGAAGAGACCAAUGAGUGUGUCUCUUCUUCAGACUGAGACUUGAUUUUCUGUACAGUUCAGGAUCUGCACACAGUGGAGGUCUUCCUAGCUCAGUCUAUAUCAAGAGAUUCCCAAAGGACAAUGUCCAGAGGCUCAUCUCCCCAGUAAUGGUAAACCUUAUCAAGUUGACAACUGAGGUUAACCAUCACGGCUACUCAACAUAUUGCCUGAAGUAUUGACUGUCGGAGUUCUCUUCACUUUGGGGAUGUGGAAGGCACUGUCUACUGUGUUCUCUGAGGCCAUACACAUGGAUCAGGCAGAACAGAACCUUUUGUAGUUAAGGUGACAGGUGGGGUAUAGCCCAAUCCUUGAGAAACAGAGGUUUAAUCAUAAAUAGUUGGUCUUUACUAUAAGACAGCUUUCAAGUCUAAGACAGAGGCAGUCUGGUCCUUCAGUGUGGUCAUUAGACACACAACAAUAGAUCCCCGGCUUCCAAAGGCAAGGUCACUGCUUGGUUAUUCUGAAUUGCUAAUGCCACUUCACCAAAAUCGCUGGUGAAGGUGAUUGGUCCAAUUUUUCAAGAAGGAACUUACACACCCAAUGGGAGAGAAGAGCAAACAAACUCAGGUAGGAACUCAGGUAGGGUUCCUCUUAGGACUUCCUGUUUCAAUCACAAAGGUUAACUGAAAACUACAGUAGCCCAAAGGAGACAAAACUAUCGAGAGUCAGUCACUCCACCAAGGAAAGAAAUGGAGCUGGCUGAGGCCAGCCUGAAGGUAAAGGGAACGAACAUGAAUGGUUUGUGGAAGAAGGGCUUCACGGAGACAGCCUCCAGCCUUCUGACGGAUUACAAAGUGACUUUCUAUAUCAGUUAUAGAAGUUUGAUCUUAUAUUGGUUCCUCAAGGUAACAGAACAUUCCAUCAAGUUGUGGCUGUGUAGUAGGGCUAGUACACGAGUCCCGGGGAGACAUGAACUAAUAUGUCUAAAUGAACUAAUAUGUAUAAACGGGGUAUUGACGACACACAAAAGAAACCAUACCACACUUCUCGCCUGGUGAGCCAGUGAGUGUAUUCAGGUUAUUUCAGGAGCAUGUUGGGCAGGCAGCUAAAGACAGUGACACGAUGUCAGAACUGAGAAGUCCCAAGAAGCCUGCAGCCCUGCAGCUGCCCGCUCACCUUGUGGCCUCCCUGAAGAGUGUCUUUUCCUUCAGCAAUUGCUCGCUGCCCGUAUGGACAUGGAGAGGGACCCGAGUCUUGUAACUUACUACAGCACAGCAUGAACCUUUUCUAUAGCCUCUGCAGUCCUGGGAGCACCUCUCCUCCCUCCAAAGAUGCUUCAGCAUGGAGGGGAUUCCAGCACUAUGAGGAAUCAUCUGCUGACUGUAGGGUGAUUCAUCUUCCAGGUUGGGGAGCGUUUUCAUUCAGAGGCCACGGUCUAACAGCUGCAGCGAAUAAUCAGAAACCAUGUGACUGACAAAGUCCCAGACAUUGACUCUCACUCACCAUGGGUUGAUUCAGUGUGCUCAGUCCUGAUGAUAGAACCACAAUGGAUUUGUCGAAUGAUCAUUGGAGCCAAGAGCAGGAACUCCCUUCAAACCAAUUCUGGCUUCUGAGACAUUUUAAUAACAUGUCUAUUUUAUACAUACAUUUACAUACAUGCAUAUGCAUGUAUUCUGCAUGCUGGGAUUCUUGUUUUAGUUAUUGGGCCACAAUAUAUUAGUGUCAUAUUUCUGAUGCAGUAGGAGAGUUCAAGGCACCCCCUGAACCUGUGACACGUUUGUCACCCUUUGGGAUUCUUGUACCACAUAUUCUAACAGCAUGUUCCAGGCUCAUCUCGGGUCUUCUCUAAACAAGGUCCAGAGCCAACGGUAUUCCAUGAAGUCUGUGGCUGACUGGGAUUUUACCAAGACUAGAAACUAAAAUGACGACAGCAAACCCAGCGUCCAGCUAGUCUUUGUGUUCACCUGAACACAGCAAAAGUACAGUGUGAAGUAUUCCUUCAGGCUGGCCUACCUGACAGCGUCAUUGAGUGCAGCCCUCACCCCAUAGCCGUGACCCUCAGGCCACCACACUGUUCUUGUGGCUUUGGAGCACUCUCAAAAACGUCUUCACUGGCAUAUUUCAGUUUCUCUCUCUCUCUCCAUCUAGAAGAGAAAGGACCCGCCAUCUUAAAAUUGUCAACGGUGUCUGGGAGCGAUCACAGUUGACUUGUUUCAAAUGAUCACAUUUAACAUGUGACAGAUAUCAAAGGUAGAUGACUUGGCAUCGUUUGCAUCCUGUUACUAGGCAACCCGACACAAACUGCUCCUGAAAAAUUGCUCGCUUACUGGUGUUUGCUUCUCCGAAGCAGGAUUUUAUCUGCUUGUCUCCAGCAAUCAGCUUAGCGCCUGACAGGCAGGAAGCAGUUGUCUUUGCACAUAGCCAGGAGAUGCACAGCAUAGUUGGGGGGAACUCCUUGGAGGAAGUAGAUUGCUGUAAUGCGUUGUUAGGAUCUAUAUCUUGCUCUGGCUCCCUCCCAAACCCCUUUUCUGUCUCCCACAGGCCCUGCCAUGCAAUAAACUAGCACCUCCAAAUACUGUGACCUAAACAAACCCUUCUGCCCAUUCAGCUGCUUCCCUUAAGCAUUUGAUCAUAGUGACCGACAGAAAACCAGACGAACACGGUAGGAAAUUCUAAGAUAACUUAUGCAUGAUGAAUCUUGUUCUGCAAACAUGGGUGCCUGAGUCUGGAUCCCCAGCAUCCUGGUAAAAGCUGGAGAAGGGAGGGGCCCAUGUCUGUAACCCCAAUGCUAAGGGGAAGUAGAGACCAGUGCCAGUCCAGCCAAAUGGGAAGAUCAAAGCUCCACAAAAGGCAGUUUACAUACAUACAUACACACAUACAUACACACAUACAUACAUACCACACACACACACACACAUAUACACGUGCAUGCACACACACUGGCAUGCGCGAAUAAAUAAAACCAAUUACCAAUUUUCUAUUUCGUCUUGUUAUACUUAAUCACCCCUCAUUAUACUCAAUCACUCUCCCCUUAGCCCACAAACGGAAAGAUCAAUUAUUAUUAUUAUUUUUUUUUUUAGUGGA
This 4211-nucleotide small RNA is filed under the name Rattus norvegicus (Norway rat). RNAcentral describes it as "uncharacterized LOC103694058". Lineage: Eukaryota; Metazoa; Chordata; Mammalia; Rodentia; Muridae. The record is from RNAcentral.